Wasmannia auropunctata (little fire ant) is the source of this 624-nucleotide long non-coding RNA. RefSeq lists it as uncharacterized. NCBI's taxonomy places the organism in Eukaryota, Metazoa, Arthropoda, Insecta, Hymenoptera, Formicidae. The transcript has 2 exons. The record is from RefSeq and is a predicted model, not a curated record.
AUUUGAGGGAGGGGAUUGCGAAAGUUUCGAGAAUCGCAAGUUUAAUCAAUCAAGGCUAUUUAAUAAUUGCUUGCUGACGCAGUAACUUCAUGUUUUAUAAUACGAAAGUUAUCAAACUUACGUCAGUGAUUUUGAGCUGAACUUUAACUGAACUUUACCGAGAGCUUUAUCAGGCUUUUUCGCAAAAAUGUCGUCCACCCGCGUCUCUGCCAACGCUCUGCCAAUAUGAAUUAUUAUUUCGUUGUUACAUCAGAAAAUUUAACGACGCCUCCUUCGACGCCGAUCGAUGUCGUUGGCGGGGACUCCUUCCUCCGCCUGACGAACAGAGCGAAAAUUACAUUAGCAUGAAGUACGGAAUAUACAAGGUAAUAAUAAAUUUGCCGAUACAAUUGGAGGUACUGCUCUUCUGCUGCUGCUGCAUCUGGAGGUACUGCAUCUGAAUUCGCGAUACAUACUUUUCUUUUGGAGGUACAAGACUCCGAGUUCGUACCUCGUGUAUAUAAUACGAGGUACAAAAUAUUGCGUAUGUACCUCGUAUAUUUAUAAAUACAAGGUACUCAGCGGUAAAAAUGUAUCGCCUGUUUGGCAAGUCCUUGAUUAAAUGACAAGACAAUUGAUUAAAGA